This 1384-nucleotide long non-coding RNA is filed under the name Medicago truncatula (barrel medic). Its description in RNAcentral is "lncRNA gene48020". Lineage: Eukaryota; Viridiplantae; Streptophyta; Magnoliopsida; Fabales; Fabaceae. The record is from RNAcentral.
GUAUGAUUAAUACUUAUGCGACCAUACCUUCUAAACUCUACUUUGGGAGUCAACAAUCAUGUAUGUUGAUGUAUUGAUUUGCAUAAUGCCAACAAGUUACCAUACGUAAGUCCUCCCCUAAAUUUAUAUUUUGGUUAAGAAUUUAAUUUUUCUCAUCUAAGUAAAUUUUUGGAUGUGUUGUGUCUAUCACAGUUGCUCCAAUAUAAUGCACUUAGAUAGAACUUGAAAGAAUAUUGGGGAAAUCUAUUUGAUAGGAAUCUUCAUCUAUUAUAAAUUGUAUUGAGCCAACUUGUUUACAGUCCAGUAGGCUGAUUAGUUUUCCCAAUAUUAGGGGGAGAGAAUAAGCAGCUGAAAAUGUAAACCUGAAGUUCAAAUGAAUAAUUUGAAAGGAAAUAUUAUUGUCUCAUCUUGAUCUUCAAAAUAUUACUCGUUUGCAAAUUUAAAUAGAUAAAAUAGCAGCCGCUAAUGCUCCAAACGAAAUAGAUGUCUUGCAAAUGAGUCCCAACCGUCAUGAAGCGUGGUAGACCAAUCAGUUCCACAUAUAAAAUCCUCAAACAAGAAAAGGAGCUAAAAUGAAAGAUAACCCAAAUAAGGAUGUGUAAACUCUAAUAGAGUCAUCUGACAUAAUUGAUUUGAAGUUCUAGAAGAACUGACCAGGUACCUGAGAUGUAUGAAAAAUAAAGAGAUCUCGAUAAAUUAUGUCAUGAAUGGAAUGAGGUUGAACAAAAGUGAAAGUCAACGUUGAUGAUGUUUUUGCAUAUAAUAUAGAGCUAUAUGUGAUUGGUGAUAAUGAGGAUCAUGAAUUAAAGUCUAUAAAAGAUUAUAGAAAAAAAAAUAUCUGCAGAUGGAAAGAGACAAUUCCUGUGAAAUCAAACUCGCUUUGUAAAGCUAAACUUUUUGGACUUGUAGUCCCCACACUUGAAGAUGUGAAGUUAAUUAGAUAUAUACAAGUUUUCGCGCGAAAGAGAAUUACAUUGAUAAAAUAUACAUAUGUAAAGAGUUUGAUAUGUUCACCGGAAGUGAGCUGAUACAUGUCUAACGUUUAUGUUUAAGAGAUAUAUUCACCUGAAAUGAAUUCAAGAACUUUUUCUUACUUGAUUAAGUUUAGUAUCACAUGAAAGACUCAAUUUAUAUGAAAAAUGUAUUGCAAUAUAGUUGUAUGACCCACAUGAUAGUGAUGAGUAUAUGAAACUCUGAAAGAGUUAAUUUUCGUGAGAUAUUGAAGAAAUGACAUCAUAUGUCCAUUUUAAUGUAUUUUAUUAAUUAUAUAUAUAUUGUGAUAUUUUGUUUUUUUUUUUGUCAAUAUUAAUAUAAGUAUAUGGUGGUGUCGGUAUUGUGGCCAAAUAUUUAUGUACGUAAGCUCAUCACUAUGAUGAGUGAGUAA